Molecule: long non-coding RNA, 534 nt
Filed under: Rosa chinensis
Lineage: Eukaryota; Viridiplantae; Streptophyta; Magnoliopsida; Rosales; Rosaceae
Description: sRNA RchiOBHm_Chr2g0109831
Source: RNAcentral
CCCCCCUCUCUCUCUCUUAUCUUUGUUUUUGGGAAUAAAACCUAAAAUCACAAAUCUAACCUCUCUCUCUCUCUCUCCACCGAUCCGCAACUCUCCGUCGCCGCCGUUCCCCUCCGUCAGUCGCCGCCGUUAGUCGCCGUGUUCUCGUAUUACUACUUCCGCUCUCAGAAUUCUCACUGAAAGGCGCCGCACUUCGAAUCUAGGAUUCUCUCGCGGCAUGAUCUCUUUGCAUCUAUAUUUUCAUCACAGACUAUACGGUUAAAUAAAAUUAAUGGAGCUGAUUAAAGAUGCAUUUGAUCGUGUUACAAAGAAACAAAAGCUAUCAUGCUCCAAAACUCAAGAAGUUCUUGAUCUGAUUGACCAAGAAAUCAAGCAGACGUUACAGAAAAUACAAUCAUCUAAUGAGUGUGAAUCUCAGGUUGAUUUGAAAUCUACCAUUGCUGAACUCAAAAACAAGUUAAAAGACAUUGCACCACUCAGUCAGACAGAAAGCACCCAGAAGGAACUGAAUCUGGCAUUGAGCAAGUAUCCAAA